GACGAACGCUGGCGGCGUGCUUAACACAUGCAAGUCGAACGGAAAGGCCCUGCUUUUGUGGGGUGCUCGAGUGGCGAACGGGUGAGUAACACAUGAGUAACCUGCCCUUGACUUUGGGAUAACUUCAGGAAACUGGGGCUAAUACCGGAUAGGAGCUCCUGCUGCAUGGUGGGGGUUGGAAAGUUUCGGCGGUUGGGGAUGGACUCGCGGCUUAUCAGCUUGUUGGUGGGGUAGUGGCUUACCAAGGCUUUGACGGGUAGCCGGCCUGAGAGGGUGACCGGCCACAUUGGGACUGAGAUACGGCCCAGACUCCUACGGGAGGCAGCAGUGGGGAAUAUUGCACAAUGGGCGGAAGCCUGAUGCAGCAACGCCGCGUGCGGGAUGACGGCCUUCGGGUUGUAAACCGCUUUCGCCUGUGACGAAGCGUGAGUGACGGUAAUGGGUAAAGAAGCGCCGGCUAACUACGUG
RNAcentral lists this ribosomal RNA (468 nucleotides) under uncultured bacterium. RNAcentral describes it as "partial 16S ribosomal RNA". It matches the Rfam family "Bacterial small subunit ribosomal RNA", at positions 28 to 507 of the family's 1533-position model. The record is from RNAcentral.